AACGUACGCUGGCGGCACGCCUAACACAUGCAAGUCGAACGAAGUAGCAAUACUUAGUGGCAGACGGGUGAGUAACAUGUAGGUAUCUGCCCUUUGGCCUGGAAUAACACGAGGAAACUUGUGCUAAUACCGGAUAAGUCUUUACAGAGAAAGCUUUAUGCACCAUUGGAUGAGCCUGCACUUGAUUAGUUUGUUGGUGGGGUAAUGGCCUACCAAGACUGUGAUCAAUAGCUGAUUUGAGAGGAUGAUCAGCCACAUUGGGACUGAGACACGGCCCAAACUCCUACGGGAGGCAGCAGUGGGGAAUCUUGCACAAUGGAGGAAACUCUGAUGCAGCGAUGCCGCGUGAGUGAAGAAGGCCCUUGGGUUGUAAAGCUCUUUCGUCGGGGAAGAAAAUGACUGUACCCGAAUAAGAAGGUCCGGCUAACUUCGUGCCAGCAGCCGCGGUAAUACGAAGGGACCUAGCGUAGUUCGGAAUUACUGGGCUUAAAGAGUUCGUAGGUGGUUGAAAAAGUUAGUGGUGAAAUCCCAGAGCUUAACUCUGGAACUGCCAUUAAAACUUUUCAGCUAGAGUAUGAUAGAGGAAAGCAGAAUUUCUAGUGUAGAGGUGAAAUUCGUAGAUAUUAGAAAGAAUACCAAUUGCGAAGGCAGCUUUCUGGAUCAUUACUGACACUGAGGAACGAAAGCAUGGGUAGCGAAGAGGAUUAGAUACCCUCGUAGUCCAUGCCGUAAACGAUGUGUGUUAGACGUUGGAAAUUUAUUUUCAGUGUCGCAGGGAAACCGAUAAACACACCGCCUGGGGAGUACGACCGCAAGGUUAAAACUCAAAUGAAUUGACGGGGACCCGCACAAGUAGUGGAGCAUGUGGUUUAAUUCGAAGAUACGCGCAGAACCUUACCAACACUUGACAUGUUCGUCGCGACUCUAAGAGAUUAGAGUUUUCGGUUCGGCCGGACGAAACACAGGUGCUGCAUGGCUGUCGUCAGCUCGUGUCGUGAGAUGUUGGGUUAAGUCCCGCAACGAGCGCAACCCCCACUUUUAGUUGCCAUCAUUAAGUUGGGCACUCUGAAAGAACUGCCAGUGAUAAGCUGGAGGAAGGUGGGGAUGACGUCAAGUCCUCAUGGCCCUUACGUGUUGGGCUACACACGUGCUACAAUGGUAUCUACAAACAGGAAGCAAGACUGCGAAGUUAAGCAAAAUCCCUAAAAGAUACCUCAAGUUUCGGAUUGCGCUCUGCAACUCGAGUGCAUGAAAGCUGGAAUUACUAGUAAUCGUGGAUCAGCGUGCCACGGUGAAUGCGUUCCCGGGUCU
This 1311-nucleotide ribosomal RNA is filed under the name uncultured bacterium. RNAcentral describes it as "bacterial SSU rRNA". It matches the Rfam family "Bacterial small subunit ribosomal RNA", at positions 28 to 1381 of the family's 1533-position model. The record is from RNAcentral.